Daphnia pulex (common water flea) is the source of this 544-nucleotide long non-coding RNA. RefSeq lists it as uncharacterized. The transcript is spliced from 5 exons. Lineage: Eukaryota; Metazoa; Arthropoda; Branchiopoda; Diplostraca; Daphniidae. The record is from RefSeq and is a predicted model, not a curated record.
CAGCACAUGCCAUUCACGUCAGACUAAAAUACAAGUUUCGUCGCCAUCUAUGAUUCACAUUUACAACUACUGAUAUGGAUCUAAGUCUUCGUUACGCAAGACCGCCGCCAUUUGUUUUCGAGCACUGAUUGAAAGCGUAUGGCGUAUCGUUAGACAAUCCGUACGGCGUAUUUUCCUUCCUCACAUUUUUCUUCAUAAAAAUGAUGGUUGCGUGAUAACCUAGCCAAUAAUUUCUACUUGGAAAUUUCAGCUGAUCAUGUGGCCUGAGCAGAACCUGAGCAUCUGUACAUUUUGCCAAGAUGUCAUCUCUUUUUCCUGUACUGGCUGUACGUUUUGUAAGAAACACUUAAGAACAAAUCAGUUUGGUAAAGUCUAAGCUUCUUUGUUGCUACCCAAUGUACACAUGGAUUUGAUGCAGCCAGCUGGUAAAGGGUGUUCCUACUGCUGUGUUUUCGUCAAAUGAAGAAACACAAACAACUGAAGUUUAUCGUGUAUGUUCGCGUAGUUGCUGUCCGAUGUGGCACGUUGUUGCAGCCUAUGUUGG